Molecule: ribosomal RNA, 609 nt
Filed under: uncultured Arcobacter sp.
Lineage: Bacteria; Pseudomonadati; Campylobacterota; Epsilonproteobacteria; Campylobacterales; Arcobacteraceae
Description: bacterial SSU rRNA
Rfam family: Bacterial small subunit ribosomal RNA
Source: RNAcentral
UUCUCCAGAGAUUAGCUUGCUAUAGUUGUCAGCUAAGUGGCGCACGGGUGAGUAAUGUAUAGGUAAUAUGCCUCUUACUAAGGGAUAACAAAUGGAAACGUUUGCUAAUACCUUAUACUCCUUAUUAACAGAAGUUAAUAAGGGAAAGAUUUAUUGGUAAGAGAUUAGCCUGUAUUGUAUCAGUUAGUUGGUGGGGUAAUGGCUUACCAAGACUAUGACACAUAACUGGUUUGAGAGGAUGAUCAGUCACACUGGAACUGAGACACGGUCCAGACUCCUACGGGAGGCAGCAGUGGGGAAUAUUGCACAAUGGACGAAAGUCUGAUGCAGCAACGCCGCGUGGAGGAUGACACAUUUCGGUGCGUAAACUCCUUUUAUAUGAGAAGAUAAUGACGGUAUUAUAUGAAUAAGCACCGGCUAACUCCGUGCCAGCAGCCGCGGUAAUACGGGGGGUGCAAGCGUUACUCGGAAUCACUGGGCGUAAAGAGCAUGUAGGCGGAUUAAUAAGUUUGAAGUGAAAUCCUAUAGCUUAACUAUAGAACUGCUUUGAAAACUGUUAAUCUAGAAUGUGGGAGAGGUAGAUGGAAUUUCUGGUGUAGGGGUAAAAUC